AGUGUUUGAUCCUGGCUCAGGACGAACGCUGGCGGCGUGCCUAACACAUGCAAGUCGAGCGGAGACAGUGAGUAGCUUGCUAUGAGCUGUUUUAGCGGCGGACGGGUGAGUAACGCGUGAGCAACCUUUCCCAGACAGGGGAAUAACACACCGAAAGGUGUACUAAUACCGCAUAAGACCACGGGAUCACAUGGUUCUGGGGUAAAAGAUUUAUCGGUUUGGGGUGGGCUCGCGUCCGAUUAGGUAGUUGGUGAGGUAACGG
Molecule: ribosomal RNA, 262 nt
Filed under: uncultured bacterium
Lineage: Bacteria
Description: partial 16S ribosomal RNA
Rfam family: Bacterial small subunit ribosomal RNA
Source: RNAcentral